Molecule: long non-coding RNA, 258 nt
Filed under: Lathyrus oleraceus (garden pea)
Lineage: Eukaryota; Viridiplantae; Streptophyta; Magnoliopsida; Fabales; Fabaceae
Description: Pisum sativum (pea) long non-coding RNA (PSAT_LNC012724)
Source: RNAcentral
GUGGUCGUCUCUGAAAGAAUAUCUAAAAUAGAACCUAUAGCAAGCUGCAACCCUUCAAUUUCCAUUGGAUCAAAGAAGCGACUUGCAUUCAAUUUCUCCAAAACAUGUGCAGUAGUGCAAGCAAUAUGGCAAAGCGCGUUGUGGAUGGAAGCAUCGGAGAACAACACAUUGUGUACGAUCUCACCCAAUUUUCCACAAUACGGCAUUAAUAUAAUGCAUUUUUUCAUCAACUCAAGAACCUUCAAUGUUAUUUUCCAU